CGCGACCCCAGGUCAGGCGGGGCUACCCGCUGAGUUUAAGCAUAUCAAUAAGCGGAGGAAAAGAAACUAACGAGGAUUCCCCUAGUAACGGCGAGCGACGGGGGAAAAUUUUAA
RNAcentral lists this ribosomal RNA (114 nucleotides) under Acacia victoriae. RNAcentral describes it as "partial large subunit ribosomal RNA". It matches the Rfam family "Eukaryotic large subunit ribosomal RNA", at positions 1 to 112 of the family's 3401-position model. Lineage: Eukaryota; Viridiplantae; Streptophyta; Magnoliopsida; Fabales; Fabaceae. The record is from RNAcentral.